RNAcentral lists this ribosomal RNA (461 nucleotides) under uncultured bacterium. RNAcentral describes it as "partial 16S ribosomal RNA". It matches the Rfam family "Bacterial small subunit ribosomal RNA", at positions 338 to 795 of the family's 1533-position model. The record is from RNAcentral.
CCUACGGGAGGCAGCAGUGAGGAAUAUUGGUCAAUGGGCGAGAGCCUGAACCAGCCAAGUCGCGUGAAGGAUGACGGCCCUACGGGUUGUAAACUUCUUUUGUCAGGGAGCAAUUGAGUCCACGUGUGGUCUUAGCGAGAGUACCUGAAGAAAAAGCAUCGGCUAACUCCGUGCCAGCAGCCGCGGUAAUACGGAGGAUGCGAGCGUUAUCCGGACUUAUUGGGUUUAAAGGGUGCGUAGGCGGUCGGAUAAGUUAGAGGUGAAAUCCCGAGGCUCAACUUCGGAAUUGCCUCUGAUACUGUUCGGCUAGAGAGUAGUUGCGGUAGGCGGAAUGUAUGGUGUAGCGGUGAAAUGCUUAGAGAUCAUACAGAACACCGAUUGCGAAGGCAGCUUACCAAGCUACUUCUGACGUUGAGGCACGAAAGUGCGGGUAUCGAACAGGAUUAGAUACCCCAGUAGUC